UGGGGAAUAUUGCACAAUGGGCGAAAGCCUGAUGCAGCAACGCCGCGUGAGGGACGACGGCCUUCGGGUUGUAAACCUCUUUUAGUAGGGAAGAAGCGAAAGUGACGGUACCUGCAGAAAAAGCACCGGCUAACUACGUGCCAGCAGCCGCGGUAAUACGUAGGGUGCAAGCGUUAUCCGGAAUUAUUGGGCGUAAAGAGCUCGUAGGCGGUCUGUCGCGUCUGCUGUGAAAACUGGAGGCUCAACCUCCAGCCUGCAGUGGGUACGGGCAGACUAGAGUGCGGUAGGGGAGAUUGGAAUUCCUGGUGUAGCGGUGGAAUGCGCAGAUAUCAGGAGGAACACCGAUGGCGAAGGCAGAUCUCUGGGCCGUAACUGACGCUGAGGAGCGAAAGCGUGGGGAGCGAACAGG
This 409-nucleotide ribosomal RNA is filed under the name uncultured bacterium. Its description in RNAcentral is "bacterial SSU rRNA". It matches the Rfam family "Bacterial small subunit ribosomal RNA", at positions 355 to 776 of the family's 1533-position model. The record is from RNAcentral.